RNAcentral lists this ribosomal RNA (308 nucleotides) under uncultured bacterium. RNAcentral's name for it is "bacterial SSU rRNA". It matches the Rfam family "Bacterial small subunit ribosomal RNA", at positions 28 to 334 of the family's 1533-position model. The record is from RNAcentral.
GACGAACGCUGGCGGCGUGCCUAACACAUGCAAGUCGAACGGAGUGAUGAUUUCGGUUAUCACUUAGUGGCGAACGGGUGAGUAACGCGUGAGAAACCUGCCUUUCAGUGGGGGACGAACAGUUGGAAACGACUGCUAAUACCGCAUAAUGUCAUUUGGGGGUCGAUCCCUGGAUGACCAAAGAUUUAUUGCUGAAAGAUGGUCUCGCGUCUGAUUAGCUAGUUGGCGGGGUAACGGCCCACCAAGGCGACGAUCAGUAGCCGGUCUGAGAGGAUGAACGGCCACAUUGGGACUGAGAUACGGCCCAG